This 305-nucleotide ribosomal RNA is filed under the name uncultured bacterium. Its description in RNAcentral is "bacterial SSU rRNA". It matches the Rfam family "Bacterial small subunit ribosomal RNA", at positions 335 to 658 of the family's 1533-position model. The record is from RNAcentral.
AUCCUACGGGACGCAGCAGUGGGGAAUAUUGCACAAUGGGGGAAACCCUGAUGCAGCGACGCCGCGUGAGUGAAGAAGUAUUUCGGUAUGUAAAGCUCUAUCAGCAGGGAAGAUAAUGACGGUACCUGAGUAAGGAGCCCCGGCUAACUACGUGCCAGCAGCCGCGGUAAUACGUAGGGGGCAAGCGUUAUCCGGAUUUACUGGGUGUAAAGGGAGCGUAGACGGCAUGGCAAGUCUGAAGUGAAAGCCCGUGGCUCAACCGUGGGACUGCUUUGGUGACUGUUAAGCUGGAGUGCAGGAGAGGG